AAUGCAUAAAGACGCAGAGACCAUCGCUGUGAUAAUCGAUUCAGCAGCAGAAGCAGCCAAUGAAUUACAGAAGCUAACAGUUGAUAAACAUGAGGAAGUGGAGAGUCAAAACCGUUUGCAUGAUUGAAUGGGCAAUAACAUGGACGAAUCAAGGGGCAUAAUGUCAGGAACCACGGAUCAAUUCUAGAUGGUACAUAAGCCAGAACUACUUUACAGUCAUAUUUGUUCUACUUCCUUAGCUGCGUGGAAAUGGCUGAGCAUAAUAAAAUUAUUGCUAUGCAGAUUUACCGCUUUUAAACUCUUCAAACAAAUGAUUGGAACGAGGGGCAGUGAGUUAAGUUGUCUUCCUGCCAAAUUUAGUACACUUACAAAUCUUGGUCAGCUUCCAUUGAGGGUCCUUGGAUACUUGAAGCAAAGUUGAAGGAGAAUUGUGAGAACCUCACCUUCGAAGUCUUUGAUUAACAAUGGGAGUUGGGCACGCAAAAAAUGCUUGGAAUGGCACUGCAAGUGCGAUGAUCCUGGUCUUUUCUUAAGUAGCAAAGAACUCAUGGUUUACAGUAUCUGCUAUGAGAUGACCUGUGAUUGAAUGUGCACUACGUGCUUACCAUAUUGUGGUGAUUUUAGUGAGUAAAUAUUGAGUGGAAGCAAUUGGUAGAA
Molecule: long non-coding RNA, 657 nt
Organism: Populus euphratica (Euphrates poplar)
Lineage: Eukaryota; Viridiplantae; Streptophyta; Magnoliopsida; Malpighiales; Salicaceae
Exons: 5
Source: RefSeq, a predicted model, not a curated record